RNAcentral lists this long non-coding RNA (972 nucleotides) under Homo sapiens (human). RNAcentral describes it as "non-protein coding lnc-AES-2:1". Lineage: Eukaryota; Metazoa; Chordata; Mammalia; Primates; Hominidae. The record is from RNAcentral.
UUUCGGAUCGGCAGGAUGUACCCCCAGGGAAGGCACCCGACCCCGCUCCAGUCCGGCCAGCCCUUCAAGUUCUCGAUCUUGGAGAUCUGCGACCGCAUCAAAGAAGAAUUCCAGUUUCUUCAGGCUCAAUACCACAGCCUCAAGCUAGAAUGUGAGAAGCUGGCCAGCGAGAAGACGGAAAUGCAGCGACAUUAUGUCAUGUAUUAUGAGAUGUCGUACGGGCUCAACAUUGAAAUGCAUAAGCAGGCGGAGAUUGUGAAGCGUCUGAGCGGUAUCUGCGCUCAGAUUAUCCCCUUCCUGACCCAGGAGCAUCAGCAGCAGGUGCUCCAGGCCGUAGAACGCGCCAAGCAGGUCACCGUGGGGGAGCUGAACAGCCUCAUCGGGGUGAGUCUCUCUAGCCCCUGCCCCGCCAUGGGGAGACGCCCACUCCCAGGUCCCUGGCACCCACCCAGGAGGUGUUAAAGCUGGGGUGGUGUGUGGGCCUUGGCUCCAGUGGUCCUGGGAACCCCAGGGGCACAUGCUGUGCUUAGGUCCCAUCCCCUGUGUCUACCUCUUGGGCUGGGGACCGCUGGGCUCCUGCCGCCCCCCGCCCCGGCCCAUCCUGCCUCCUUUCUAGCAGCAGCAGCUCCAGCCGCUGUCCCACCACGCACCCCCUGUGCCCCUCACCCCCCGCCCAGCCGGGCUGGUGGGCGGCAGUGCUACGGGGCUGCUUGCUCUGUCUGGAGCCCUGGCUGCCCAGGCUCAGCUGGCGGCGGCUGUCAAGGAGGACCGUGCGGGCGUGGAGGCCGAGGGGUCCAGAGUGGAGAGAGCCCCGAGCAGGAGUGCAUCUCCCUCGCCCCCUGAGAGUCUCGUGGAGGAGGAGCGACCGAGUGGCCCUGGUGGUGGCGGGAAGCAGAGAGCAGAUGAGAAGGAGCCAUCAGGACCUUAUGAAAGCGACGAAGACAAGAGUGAUUACAAUCUGGUGGUGGACGA